Molecule: small nuclear RNA, 90 nt
Filed under: Mus caroli (Ryukyu mouse)
Lineage: Eukaryota; Metazoa; Chordata; Mammalia; Rodentia; Muridae
Source: RNAcentral
AUGCUCGCUUCGGCAGCACAUAUACUAAAAUUGGAAUGAUACAGAAAAGAUUAGGAUGACAUGCAAAUUCCUGAAGUGUUCCAUAUUUUU